GAUCCUGGCUCAGAGUGAACGCUGGCGGUAGGCCUAACACAUGCAAGUCGAACGGCAGCACAGGAGAGCUUGCUCUCUGGGUGGCGAGUGGCGGACGGGUGAGGAACACAUCGGAAUCUACUCUGUCGUGGCGGAUAACGUAGGGAAACUUACGCUAAUACCGCAUACGACCUACGGGUGAAAGUGGGGGACCUUCGGGCCUCACGCGAUUGAAUGAGCCGAUGUCGGAUUAGCUAGUUGGACGGGGG
Molecule: ribosomal RNA, 248 nt
Filed under: uncultured bacterium
Lineage: Bacteria
Description: partial 16S ribosomal RNA
Rfam family: Bacterial small subunit ribosomal RNA
Source: RNAcentral